AGAUCUUGCUGUCGUCAGCUGGCUGGUACCCAAAGUUCCUCUUCGUCAGGCUGUUCCUUCCCCGUUAGAGUCCUUCCUCCCCAGGAGCCCUCUCCAUCUGUUGACCUUCAAGACCCAGAGCAAAAUGCCACUUCAUCCAUGAAGCCUUCCCUUAACCCUUAUUCUGCCAAAAUGUCUCUUUCCUGUGCUUCUGUACUUUCACAAUUUUAGAAAAUGCCUUUGUGGUUAAAAACCUAUCUCCGGGACCGGACUAUCUAGGUUUAGAUUCUGGCUGCCGCUUACGAAUUUGGGCAGGUUUAGUCAAGUUAUUUUAACCUCUCUGUGGAAGUUCCUGCUCUGUGGAAAUAAUAGUAUUUUCCUCAGAGUUGGUGUGGGGAGUUUGUGAGUUAAUACAUAUACGAAGUGGUUAGUUGCAUGUAAGAAGGACUCUCUAAAUGUCAGCUAUUAUUAACAUUGCAUAUCUGCCACACCCCUCGUAGAUGGUAAACUGCUUUUUUUUUUUUUUUUUUUUUUACUUUUAUUUUAGGUUCGGGAUACAUGCACAGGUUUGUUUUAUAGGUAAAUUGCUUGUCAUGUGGGUUUGUUGUACAAAUUAUUUUGUCACCCAGAUAGUAAGCAUAGUACUUGACAGGUAUUUUUUCUGAUCCUCUCCCUCCUCCCACCCUCUAGCCUCAAGUAGGUCCCAGUGUCUGUUGUUCUCUUCUUUGUGUCCAUGUGUUCUCACUGUUUAGCUCCCACUUACAAGUCAGAACAUGCAGUAUUUGGUUUUCUCUUCCGCAUUAGUUCACUUAGGAUAAAGGCCUCCAGCUCCAUCCAUGUUGCUACAAAGGACAUGAUCUCUUUCUUUUUUAUGGCUGCAUAGUAGUCCAUGGUGUAUAUGUACUGUAUUUUCUUCAGUCUACUGGUGAUGGGCAUUUAGGUUGAUGCCAUGUCUUUACGAUUGUGAAUAGUGCUGCAGUGAACAUACAUGUACAUGUAUCUUUAUGGUAGAAUGAUUUAUAUUCUUUUGGGUAUAGACCCAAUACUGGGAUUGUUGGGUCGAAUGGUAAUUCUGUUUUAAGUUCUUUGAGAAAUCGCCACACCGCUUUCCGCAGUUACUGAACUAAUUUACAUUCCCACCAGCAUUGUAUAAGCAUUCCCUUUUCUCCACAACCUCACCAGAAACCAGCAUCUGUUAUUUCUUGACUUUUAUUAAUAGCCAUUCUGACUGGUGUGAGAUGAUAUCUCAUUGUAGUUUUGAUUUGGGUUUCUCUAGUGAUUAGUGAUGUUGAGUAUUUUAUAUGCUUGUUGGCCAUGUAGCUUCUUUUGGCUAGGGACCUGUGAGUCUCCCUAGGUUUCUUGCACUUACUAAGCCUUCAACAAAUGGUAGAAGAGUCAAUUCUCUUGGUGUUUCAGAAGAAAACAAUAUCACAGCCCCUCUCCACUGGAUAAUACUAUAAAUCUUAAAAUGAAUUUUCAUUCAGAGUAAUAAACACAAGCCAAAGAACUUUGUAUAACAUCCGUCAACUUUUUGUGUUAUCUAUUUCUUUUCCAAAACAUUGCCUCUGGUUUUAAAGGUAACUGCCCACAGUGUUUCACUAAUAACAUUUUAAGCAUUACAAGUUCAACACUGAAGGUCAAAUGACAACGAACUUUCAGUGCUUCCAAAAGCAGGGGCAGAGGGCAACUGCUGAGGGGGGCAUUGUAUAGCCUAACCUUCCCAGAAUUUGAUUUAAAAGUAUGAUCUUCACAGCGUUGGCCAGCAAUAUCAUGGUCACUCCCUACGUCAUUCCCUGGGAGAAAAACAACCCUAGGUUACCUAAACAAUGUUGGCGAAGACCAAAUAUUUAUUAACAUCCUAAGCAGCCCCAUAAUCAAGCCAAUGCUGAUAGGGACAAAGAAGGUGCCAUGUGCAGUUUUUCUCCAUGUCCCCACAAUAUCUGCUCUGAAUUUUAAAAGGCAAUUACUGGGGGAGAAGGAAGCCUAUAUAUUAUGUAGGAUCCAAGUCUCAAACUGCUUUCCUAGGGAGUGUGAGAUUCUUGGAGAUUAAGUGCAGUACCUUUCUGUCUUGAGCCUUGUAGGCUGCCCCUCUAAUUUAAUGCCAGUCUUGAAAUAAACAGAAUGCUUUCCAAGUCAUCGCUAAUUUUAACACUUUAAAUUUAGAAUUGCUUAGAAUUGACUCAACACUGCCUCCUUGCUGAAUGGAUAAUUCAAGCAAACAACUCAAGAGCUGGAUGCUGCCCAGACAGAAGUCCUCCUAGCAUCUUUCUUCUGCCUUCCCCUGCUCCUGUCCCUGAAACCUUUUCUUCAAAAGAAGUGGAAAAGAGGAACUGGGAACCCAUAUAGCAACAGCAUCACCUGGAAUGAAUUCCUUUAGAACAUACUGUCUUGGAAAUCUGAAGCCUGCAGGGCUGGACAGGCAAGAAGAGCAGUGAGCACUGCAUGAACCUUUCUCUCCUUCCCUCCCUUACGUAUGACUCCUCCCAUAAUCCGCACACAUGGACUGAACCAAGUGAGGGUAUUUUUCUGUUUCCUACCUCAUAGAAGGGCAUAGAGUGGACACGGUCUAAGGCGUGUACUCCGAAAUAUUUUUCAAAUGGAAAAGAAAACAGAGAACACAAUUUUCAAAAUAUCUAGAGCCCUCCAAGAAGUCUUUGUAGAGAUCUAUAAAAUCUCAAGGCAAUUUAAAGAGUCUUGCUGUGUCGCCCAAGCUGGAGUUCAGUGGCACCAUCCUGGCUCACUGCAACUGCUGCCUCCCAGGUUCAAGUGAUUCUCCUGCCUCAGCCUCCCGAGUAGCUGGGAUUACAUGUGCUUGCCACCACGCCUGGCAAAUUUUUGUAUUUUUAGUAGAAAUGGUGUUUUACCAUGUUGGCCAGGACUGGCCUAGAACUCCAGACCUCAAGUGAUCCACCCGCCUCAGCAUCCCAAAGUGGUGGGAUUACAGGCAUGAGCAACUGUGCCUGGCCUAGCCAUUUUCUAUAAACCUGAAAAUAGAUGCCAGAAAAGAAGGUGCCGCUAUGAAAUGCUUUCUUGAGUGAUUUAUGUCUAACAUACAAUUAAACAUUUAUGAGAAGGAAAUUAUCAGGUUAAAAUAUAAACUCACUUGCCAAUUAUUUGAUUUUCAGGAUAUCUGACUUUUGUUAAUUACUGAAAAUAAAGUAUUAUUUCUAAUCAC
Long non-coding RNA from Pan troglodytes (chimpanzee), 3154 nucleotides. RefSeq lists it as uncharacterized. Lineage: Eukaryota; Metazoa; Chordata; Mammalia; Primates; Hominidae. The transcript has 5 exons. The record is from RefSeq and is a predicted model, not a curated record.